UAGGGAAUCUUCCGCAAUGGGCGAAAGCCUGACGGAGCAACGCCGCGUGAGUGAUGAAGGUCUUCGGAUCGUAAAACUCUGUUAUUAGGGAAGAACAAAUGUGUAAGUAACUAUGCACGUCUUGACGGUACCUAAUCAGAAAGCCACGGCUAACUACGUGCCAGCAGCCGCGGUAAUACGUAGGUGGCAAGCGUUAUCCGGAAUUAUUGGGCGUAAAGCGCGCGUAGGCGGUUUUUUAAGUCUGAUGUGAAAGCCCACGGCUCAACCGUGGAGGGUCAUUGGAAACUGGAAAACUCGAGUGCAGAAGAGGAAAGUGGAAUUCCAUGUGUAGCGGUGAAAUGCGCAGAGAUAUGGAGGAACACCAGUGGCGAAGGCGACUUUCUGGUCUGUAACUGACGCUGAUGUGCGAAAGCGUGGGGAUCAAACAGG
Molecule: ribosomal RNA, 429 nt
Filed under: Actinomycetes bacterium
Lineage: Bacteria; Bacillati; Actinomycetota; Actinomycetes
Description: Actinobacteria bacterium partial 16S ribosomal RNA
Rfam family: Bacterial small subunit ribosomal RNA
Source: RNAcentral